CAGGGAGACAAAACUGAUUGUGAAGCCAUCUUUUUUUUUGGUCGCAAUCCUGUCACCUUAGGUCAAUCGGUACCUCAGUUUUAUAUCCAAAGAGAUAUCUAAUUCAGUUCCUAAACUUGUCUAGGUCACACCCAACAAGGGUACUCCUGGGCCAUUAGCUCAGGUGGUUAGAGCGCACCCCUGAUAAGGGUGAGGUCCCUGGUUCAAGUCCAGGGUGGCCCAUUCGGUGUUGGGGGUAUAGCUCAGUUGGUAGAGCGCCUGCUUUGCAAGCAGGAUGUCAGCGGUUCGAGUCCGCUUACCUCCACUGAAACCUACCCUGAUAACUUAAUUCAGGGGAAAUUUGUAAAUGUGACUUAGAGCUGUCUAGCUGAAUAGAACCUAGCUUUUUAUCAUCGUUUUGAGUUGAUAAUAUGCUGGGCUCUCAUGGGGAUUUCCCAUUUGAAUUCAGUAGAACCUUGAAAACUGCAUAGAUGGAAAGAAUAAAAGCAUCUCAUGGAUGCAUAAUUCUGUAUCAAUUUUUUAGUGUUAAAACUAGAUUAAGGGUACAUAAUUCAUGUUUAAUUCUUGAGUAAAAGCCGAGCACAAUUAAAAUUGUGAUUGUAUUUAA
RNAcentral lists this transfer RNA (607 nucleotides) under uncultured cyanobacterium. RNAcentral's name for it is "partial miscellaneous RNA". The stretch from base 232 to 304 matches the Rfam family "tRNA". The record is from RNAcentral. Lineage: Bacteria; Bacillati; Cyanobacteriota.